AUGGAAUAGGCUUGUUGUUGGGGUAACGGCUCACCAAAGGCGACGAUCCCUAGCUGGUCUGAGAGGAUGACCAGCCACACUGGAACUGAGACACGGUCCAGACUCCUACGGGAGGCAGCAGUGGGGAAUAUUGCACAAUGGGCGCAAGCCUGAUGCAGCCAUGCCGCGUGUAUGAAGAAGGCCUUCGGGUUGUAAAGUACUUUCAGCGGGGAGGAAGGGAGUAAAGUUAAUACCUUUGCUCAUUGACGUUACCCGCAGAAGAAGCACCGGCUAACUCCGUGCCAGCAGCCGCGGUAAUACGGAGGGUGCAAGCGUUAAUCGGAAUUACUGGGCGUAAAGCGCACGCAGGCGGUUUGUUAAGUCAGAUGUGAAAUCCCCGGGCUCAACCUGGGAACUGCAUCUGAUACUGGCAAGCUUGAGUCUCGUAGAGGGGGGUAGAAUUCCAGGUGUAGCGGUGAAAUGCGUAGAGAUCUGGAGGAAUACCGGUGGCGAAGGCGGCCUCCUGG
Molecule: ribosomal RNA, 506 nt
Filed under: uncultured Gammaproteobacteria bacterium
Lineage: Bacteria; Pseudomonadati; Pseudomonadota; Gammaproteobacteria
Description: bacterial SSU rRNA
Rfam family: Bacterial small subunit ribosomal RNA
Source: RNAcentral